Molecule: ribosomal RNA, 453 nt
Filed under: Triticum aestivum (bread wheat)
Lineage: Eukaryota; Viridiplantae; Streptophyta; Magnoliopsida; Poales; Poaceae
Description: partial small subunit ribosomal RNA
Source: RNAcentral
AUGAUGCAUGGGCCCUGUGGCGUUCUCAAUAGUAAAAAUUCCUGCAUGCAAAAUGGGGAAUGUAAAUACCAUUAUCCCCGAGCAUUCUCGGAUGCUACAUUGCAAGGGAAAGACUCAUAUCCAAUUUAUAGACGCAGGGAUGAUGGCCGUAAAGUGCGCAUUAGGGGAUCUGUUUUGGAUAAUAGAUGGGUUGUGCCAUAUAAUCCAUACCUACUUAUGAGAUAUAAUUGCCAUAUAAACAUCGAAGUUUGCUCCAGCAUCAAUGCUGUUAAGUAUUUAUUUAAGUACAUUUACAAGGGUCAUGAUCGUGCCUCUUUUAUUGUAGAAGCCGCAGAAGGUCAAGUUAUUGAUGAAAUUCACGAGUAUAGAGAUGCCCGCUUUAUAUCACCUCCAGAAGAAAUAUGGAGAAUUUACGCUUUCGACCUGAGUGAGAUGUCUCCUCCCGUUCUAUAG